Molecule: transfer RNA, 71 nt
Filed under: Ovis aries (sheep)
Lineage: Eukaryota; Metazoa; Chordata; Mammalia; Artiodactyla; Bovidae
Rfam family: tRNA
About the family: Transfer RNA (tRNA) molecules are approximately 80 nucleotides in length. Their secondary structure includes four short double-helical elements and three loops (D, anti-codon, and T loops).
Source: Rfam by way of RNAcentral
UCCCUGGUGGCUCUGUUGGUAAAGAUCUGCCUGCAAUGCGGAAUACCUGGGUUCGAUCCCUAGUCUGGGAA